RNAcentral lists this long non-coding RNA (1278 nucleotides) under Anas platyrhynchos platyrhynchos (common mallard). Its description in RNAcentral is "lncRNA (ENSAPLG00000026627.1)". The record is from RNAcentral. Lineage: Eukaryota; Metazoa; Chordata; Aves; Anseriformes; Anatidae.
GGCAACAGCUUGUUCAAAUGUCUCUUAAAAGCAUAACAUUAAACAUAUAUACCAAGUAUUUUUCUUCUGUGAAAUGGCAAGCAUAUUUCCUUUAUUAAUGAGAAAUUCAAUCUUUCUGAUUUGAAUCCUAUCAACUGAGUAAAGAGUUUUGUUUUUUUUUUUUUUUUUUUUUUUAAUGAUUUUUAUUAUUAUGCUCCCCUCAGGGUUGUUAUCCCACAUUUAGAGAUUUCUGCAGAGAUUUUUUCUUCAUUUUGAAGCAUGACAAUGAAUAAGCAACCUUGCUUGGGUUACAGACCAUCAAAAGUAAUGCUAAUGCUAACCUUUGCAUUCAGGGUUAUUCUUCAAUGAAGUCCUCUGAUCUGUAAAAUUAAAUAUGUUCCUUCCCCUGGUAUGCCUAUAAAGCCAUCUAAAAGCUCUAAGUUUUUCUAAAUUACACUGAUUUCUAUGCUGACAUUUUGAUUAUGAAACUUUUUCUGAAGAAAAUACUCAAACCAAAAAGAUAUCUGUUCAAAGACAGUUUGCCCUCAAUGUGGUGCAGGCAGCGGAGGGGUAGGACUCAGGUACACACAGUUGUACCGUAUUAGCAAACUAUAGUAGAUGCAAAACAAUUUUAUUUUUACUUUUUAUUUAUGUGAUUCUCUACAGAAGAAACUUUUGGCUAAGGUAUUUUACCUUUCAUUUGUAAUGGGUUAAAAUACUUCAGCUCAGCUGCGCUCAGUAACUCAUUAAUGUGUGGUAAAACCUACACAUGUGUAAGCUGUCAGGGUCUUGAUGCUCUGAGCACCUGAGUCCAGGUGUUCACAUUUAAAGGAUAACAAUUGAACCCAUGAAGGCACAGACUUAACCUGAUUAGUUACAUGCUCUGGUCACAGGAGAAUGAAAGCAUUUAUAUUUUUGGUAGAAGGGUUGUGUGCUUUCUGGGGUCUGAAGAAAAGGAUGCUGCUUCUGGACCUUGGAAAGAUGUUUCCUGAGGAGGCAGCCGACGUGCCUGAGGGGAGGCUGAAUGCAGGAGGACUGGAAAAAAAAGGCACUCAGACUGUGACUGCACCUGGAAAAAACAACUUUAAGGAGGUGGGAAAGACUGCAGACAGUUUCCUGAAGGAGUGUGAAAAUGGCAUUUGCUGCAGAAAGUUGGAAUUGUGGAUACCCUGCAUCCUGAACCUGCUGCAGAAGAUCUGGAGUACCUGCAGGAGAGCGAAGACAGUAAAACUGCAUUCGUACUUCGUGGGAGUGAAUUACAGCAAGGACUUCUACCUGCAGCAACAACACCCAGGUUAA